CACCGCCCGUCGCUCCUACCGAUUGAAUGGUCCGGUGAAGUGUUCGGAUCGCGGCGACGUGGGCGGUUCGCUGCCCGCGACGUCGCGAGAAGUCCACUGAACCUUAUCAUUUAGAGGAAGGAGAAGUCGUAACAAGGUUUCCGUAGGCUUUUUGAUCCUUUGAUG
RNAcentral lists this non-coding RNA (165 nucleotides) under Gossypium hirsutum (cotton). RNAcentral describes it as "Eukaryotic small subunit ribosomal RNA". It matches the Rfam family "Eukaryotic small subunit ribosomal RNA", at positions 1667 to 1831 of the family's 1831-position model. The record is from Rfam by way of RNAcentral. Lineage: Eukaryota; Viridiplantae; Streptophyta; Magnoliopsida; Malvales; Malvaceae.